Molecule: ribosomal RNA, 254 nt
Filed under: uncultured bacterium
Lineage: Bacteria
Description: partial 16S ribosomal RNA
Rfam family: Bacterial small subunit ribosomal RNA
Source: RNAcentral
CACGUAGGGGGCAAGCGUUGUCCGGAUUUAUUGGGCGUAAAGAGCUCGUAGGCGGUUCGGUAAGUCGGGUGUGAAACCUCCAGGCUCAACCUGGAGUCGCCACUCGAUACUGCUGUGACUAGAGUCCGGUAGGGGAGCGUGGAAUUCCUGGUGUAGCGGUGGAAUGCGCAGAUAUCAGGAAGAACACCGACGGCGAAGGCAGCUCGCUGGGACGGUACUGACGCUGAGGCGCGAAAGCGUGGGGAGCGAACAGG